Picea glauca (white spruce) is the source of this 118-nucleotide non-coding RNA. NCBI's taxonomy places the organism in Eukaryota, Viridiplantae, Streptophyta, Pinopsida, Pinales, Pinaceae. The record is from Rfam.
AAGGCAAUAGGUCUAGGUGGAGUUGGAAAAACUGUAACAAUGCCUAUAUCACAACAGAUCAGAUGAGAUCAUGAGUGACUGCAUGAGUUUUUCCUCUCCUCCCAGACCCAGUGGCCUU